AGAGUUUGAUUCUGGCUCAGAACGAACGCUGGCAGCGUGGAUUAGGCAUGCAAGUCGAACGGGAAGCCACGUGUUCAAUCCUUCGGGAGAGAAUGUGUGGUGGAGAGUGGCGAAAGGGUGAGGAACACGUGGGUAAUCUACCUCGAAGUUUGGGAUAACCUCGCGAAAGCGGGGCUAAUACCGGAUGUGGUAUCUUGUCGCAUGGCAGGAAUAUUAAAGGUGGGGAUUCUACUUCGGUGGAACCUGCCGCUUUGAGAGGAGCCCGCGUCCCAUCAGUUUGUUGGUAGGGUAACGGCCUACCAAGGCAUACGGGUAGCUGGUCUGAGAGGAUGGUCAGCCACACUGGGACUGAGACACUGCCCAGACUCCUACGGGAGGCUGCAGUCGAGGAUCAUUGUCAAUGCGCGAAAGCGUGAACAUGCGACGCUGCGUGGGGGAUGAAUGCUUUCGGGUUGUAAACCCCUGUCAUCUGGGAACAAUCGUUUGGAUACUAAUAUCAUCCAAGCUUGAUGGUACCAGAAGAGGAAGCCACGGCUAACUCUGUGCCAGCAGCCGCGGUAAUACAGAGGUGGCAAGCGUUGUUCGGAUUUACUGGGCGUAAAGGGUGCGUAGGUGGUUCCGUAUGUCGGGCGUGAAAGCCCACGGCUCAACCGUGGAACGGCGCUUGAAACUGCGGAUCUAGAGUGCAGGAAGGGAGAGCGGAAUUCUUGGUGUAGCGGUGAAAUGCGUUGAUAUCAAGAAGAACACCGGUGGCGAAGGCGGCUCUCUGGAAUGUUACUGACACUGAGGCACGAAAGCUGGGGGAGCAAACAGGAUUAGAUACCCUGGUAGUCCCAGCCGUAAACUGUGUGCACUUGGUGUGGGGGGUAUUGACCCCCCCCGUGCCGGAGCUAACGCGUUAAGUGCACCGCCUGGGGAGUACGACCGCAAGGUUAAAACUCAAAGAAAUUGACGGGGGCCCGCACAAGCGGAGGAGCAUGUGGCUUAAUUCGAUGCAACGCGAAGAACCUUACCAGGGCUUGACAUGUAACUGCACGCCCCGUGAAAGCGGGGUUCCUUCGAGGGUGUUACACAGGUGCUGCAUGGCCGUCGUCAGUUCGUGCUGUGAGGUGUUGGGUUAAGUCCCGCAACGAACGCAACCCCUAUGUUUAGUUGCCACCAUCGGUGAUGAGCCGGUGAGCACUCUAGACAGACUGCCCGUACAAGCGGGAGGAAGGUGGGGACGACGUCAAGUCAGUAUGGCCCUUACGUCCUGGGCUGCACACGUGCUACAAUGGUCGGUACAGAGGGAUGCAAUGCCGCGAGGUGGAGCAAAUCCCCAAAGCUGGCCCCAGUUCGGAUUGGAGUCUGCAACUCGACUCCAUGAAGUUGGAUUCGCUAGUAACGGCGUAUCAGCUACGGCGCCGUGAAUACGUUCCCGGGCCUUGUACACACCGCCCGUCACAUCAUGAAAGCCGUCUGCACCCGAAGUCACUGUACCAACCCUCACGGGGGGGAGGUGCCGAAGGUGUGGGUGGUGAUUGGGAUGAAGUCGUAACAAGGUA
Molecule: ribosomal RNA, 1544 nt
Filed under: metagenome
Description: bacterial SSU rRNA
Rfam family: Bacterial small subunit ribosomal RNA
Source: RNAcentral